This 279-nucleotide unclassified non-coding RNA is filed under the name plant metagenome. Its description in RNAcentral is "partial contains internal transcribed spacer 1 and 5.8S ribosomal RNA". The record is from RNAcentral.
UUUCCGUAGGUGAACCAGCGGAGGGGUCAUUCAUGAUACGUGAUUUAUGAAACUUUUUUGAAUCUAUCUCUUCCUUCUGUGCCAUGUCAGGGUUGAUUUUUCUCUAGAGAGCAUCCGCCCCGAACAUCCCCUAUCUCUCAUCCCUUUGUCUGAACCUUAUUAUGACUAAAACAAUUUCAAAUACAACUUUCAACAACGGAUCUCUUGUCUCUCGCAUCGAUGACGCACGCAGCCGAUCGGAAGCGCACACGUCUGACAUCCAGUCAUGCAUAGUCCUCU